Molecule: ribosomal RNA, 1055 nt
Filed under: Entomortierella echinosphaera
Lineage: Eukaryota; Fungi; Mortierellomycota; Mortierellomycetes; Mortierellales; Mortierellaceae
Description: LSU rRNA
Rfam family: Eukaryotic large subunit ribosomal RNA
Source: RNAcentral
UAUCAUAGCGAGGAAAAGAAACUAACAAGGAUUCCCCUAGUAACGGCGAGUGAAGCGGGAUGAGCUCAAAUUUAAAAUCUGGCUGGUUUACUAGUCCGAAUUGUAGUUUAAAGAAGCGUUUUCGGUGGCAGCCUGGGUAUAAAUCCUUUGGAAUAGGGUAUCAUAGAGGGUGAGAAUCCCGUCUUUGACUCAGUGAAUGCUACUAUGUGAUACGUUUUCAAAGAGUCGAGUUGUUUGGGAAUGCAGCUCAAAAUGGGUGGUAAAUUUCAUCUAAAGCUAAAUAUUGGCGAGAGACCGAUAGCGAACAAGUACCGUGAGGGAAAGAUGAAAAGAACUUUGAAAAGAGAGUUAAACAGUACGUGAAAUUGUUGAAAGGGAAACGUUUGACACCAGUCAUGCGGGUGGGAAAUCAGUCUUUUAGCGUGGGGAGUGGUGGGGGUUCGGACCGCAAGGCUGGCCUCUAUCUCAUCUCUGCGCUAAUGGAUGCACUUUUUCAUUUGCAGGUCAACAUCAGUUUCUUCUGCUGGACAAAACUCUGAGAGAAGGUAGCAGCUUUGGCUGUGUUAUAGCUCUGGAGCGAUACAGCGGAGGGGACUGAGGCUUUCGCAGUGUGUGCUUUCGGGCAAGGUUGACUGGGUGCUAUGUGAUCGUUCGGUGUACAAUGCAUGCAUUUUGCGCCGUGUCUUUUGCAUACUCGCCUGACUCGACUCUUCCACGCUUAGGAUGUUGACUUAAUGGUUUUAAACGACCCGUCUUGAAACACGGACCAAGGAGUCUAACAUAUAUGCAAGUGUUUGGGUGGCAAACCCAUACGCGUAAUGAAAGUGAACGUAGGUGCGAUCCGCAAGGUGCAGCAUCGACCGAUCUUGAUAUUUUUGGAUAGAUUUGAGUAAGAGCAUAUAUGCUGGGACCCGAAAGAUGGUGAACUAUGCCUGAAUAGGGUGAAGCCAGAGGAAACUCUGGUGGAGGCUCGUAGCGAUUCUGACGUGCAAAUCGAUCGUCAAAUUUGGGUAUAGGGGCGAAAGACUAAUCGAACCAUCUAGUAGCUGGUCUGC